AGAUGGAUCCUGUUGGAGACGUGAAGACCAAACAGAAGACAGAAUCCACCAAAACCACAAAGACGGAUCCUGUUGGAACCAAAAAGCCCAAACAGAAGACCGAGCAGAAAGAACCUCUGAAUAUUUCUUCUCUAUCUCUGAAAUCAGCGGAAUCGCCUGAAACUUCCAAGGUUCAAAGUGAAGCCGUCCAGACCGGGAGGAUCAAAAUAAUGGGAAUCAAAUCGUCCAAUACGAGGAACACUCACCUGGAGGUGGAGUUCAACGGCGGGCCGCAGACGUUUUAUGUGACAAAUCGACUUCUUGCGGACGUGUUCGGCUUCAAAGCGGAGGACGACUUCACAGGAAGAUUCUCUCGUGAGACGCCGCUCACAGCAGACGCCCAAAUAAAAGGAAAUAAAAUUACAGAAAUUAAGAAGCUGUAGCAAAAAUGUACACAUAUUUGUGUACAGUGGAACGCCGUUGACGGGUGUGGUUGGUGUGUGUAGUUAGGGUGGUGGGGUCUUUAUGAGUUACAGGUACUUUUGAAUUUACAUUUAAGGAAGUACAGUCUUUUUAUUUCUUUCAUCGCUCCGUCUCCAAACUUAGCCUACCUUUGUUUUUAAUAUGAAUAAACAAUAACAAUUGUCUUGAUUGGGGAUGUUAAGUCACAUGACGUAGUUCCUUCACUCCUACGUCGGCACUCCAUGACUGAAUGACAUUUGAACGAUGCCUCCAGUCUGAAGGUUUUUAUGUUGUAAAUGUUUUGCCUUUUACUGUAUUUUCUGUUUGCUUUGCUGAUCUCAGGCGCUUCGAUCGUUAUCCGCUGACAUUCGCUCUAAAUCUGUAUGAAAAAUUUUAACGUUUACAAAACCAAGCCAGUCGCCGUGGUUACUUCCUGUCUGAACAGCUCAGUCGGAAGAUUUAUUUAGUCGGAGUGUUAAAUUAACACAUCAACCAACGACUUAACCGUUGACAUCCCAUGUGCACAGAUUGUAAAGCCCUCUGAGGCAAAUUUGUAAUUUGUGAUUCUGGGCUAUACAAAAUAAACUGAAUUGAAUUGAAUUGAAUCCCUCGUCCUUAAUGAUUUCAAGUGACUUUGAUCUAUUUUUAUAUACAUUGAAGAAAAUAUCAUGAAUGAAGCAGCCGGUUCAGUUUAAAGAGGUUCAGUGCUUCAGAGUUUAGUGAAGACAUUUAAAA
Long non-coding RNA from Anoplopoma fimbria (sablefish), 1176 nucleotides. RefSeq lists it as uncharacterized. The record is from RefSeq and is a predicted model, not a curated record. Lineage: Eukaryota; Metazoa; Chordata; Actinopteri; Perciformes; Anoplopomatidae. The transcript has 3 exons.